GUGAUUAGAUCGAGCGUGUCUUCAUUGACCGCUCACCCUUCUCACCAUCCACAUACACCUGUGCACUGUUUAGCCUGAGCCGGUUUUCCGGUCCAGGUUAUCAUUUCAUACAAACUCUAGUCUUAUGAAUGUAAACGUUUUAAUAACAUAAUA
RNAcentral lists this unclassified non-coding RNA (153 nucleotides) under soil metagenome. Its description in RNAcentral is "partial internal transcribed spacer 1". The record is from RNAcentral.